GCAGGCAAACGCUUGAAUACGUUAGCAUGGAAUAGUAGAAUAGGACUUUGGUUCUAUUUUGUUGGUUUCUAGGACCGAAGUAAUGAUUAAUAGGGACAGUUGGGGGCAUUAGUAUUUAGUUGUCAGAGGUGAAAUUCUUGGAUUUACGAAAGACUAACUUCUGCGAAAGCAUUUGCCAAGGAUGUUUUCAUUAAUCAAGAACGAAAGUUAGGGGAUCGAAGACGAUCAGAUACCGUCGUAGUCUUAACCAUAAACUAUGCCGACUAGGGAUCGGACGAUGUUAAUUUAUAAUUGACUCGUUCGGCACCUUACGAGAAAUCAAAGUUUUUGGGUUCCGGGGGGAGUAUGGUCGCAAGGCUGAAACUUAAAGGAAUUGACGGAAGGGCACCACCAGGAGUGGAGCCUGCG
This 408-nucleotide ribosomal RNA is filed under the name uncultured fungus. RNAcentral describes it as "SSU rRNA". It matches the Rfam family "Eukaryotic small subunit ribosomal RNA", at positions 780 to 1187 of the family's 1831-position model. The record is from RNAcentral. Lineage: Eukaryota; Fungi.